This 196-nucleotide microRNA precursor is filed under the name Oryza barthii. Its description in RNAcentral is "MIR812 microRNA precursor family". It matches the Rfam family "MIR812 microRNA precursor family". The record is from Rfam by way of RNAcentral. Lineage: Eukaryota; Viridiplantae; Streptophyta; Magnoliopsida; Poales; Poaceae.
AAAAAGGCAAACCCUGGGUUUCCAUGUCCAACUUUGACUGUUCGUCUUAUAUGAAAUUUUUUUAUAAUUCGUAUUUUCAUUGUUGUUAGAUGAUAAAACAUGAUUAAUAUUUUAUGCGUGACUUGUCUUUUAAUUUUUUUUUAUAAUUUUUUCAAAUAAGACGGACGGUCGAACGUUGGACACGGAAACCAGGGUU